RNAcentral lists this ribosomal RNA (710 nucleotides) under Escherichia coli. Its description in RNAcentral is "partial 23S ribosomal RNA". It matches the Rfam family "Bacterial large subunit ribosomal RNA", at positions 520 to 1230 of the family's 2925-position model. Lineage: Bacteria; Pseudomonadati; Pseudomonadota; Gammaproteobacteria; Enterobacterales; Enterobacteriaceae. The record is from RNAcentral.
AGAACCCCGGCGAGGGGAGUGAAAAAGAACCUGAAACCGUGUACGUACAAGCAGUGGGAGCACGCUUAGGCGUGUGACUGCGUACCUUUUGUAUAAUGGGUCAGCGACUUAUAUUCUGUAGCAAGGUUAACCGAAUAGGGGAGCCGAAGGGAAACCGAGUCUUAACUGGGCGUUAAGUUGCAGGGUAUAGACCCGAAACCCGGUGAUCUAGCCAUGGGCAGGUUGAAGGUUGGGUAACACUAACUGGAGGACCGAACCGACUAAUGUUGAAAAAUUAGCGGAUGACUUGUGGCUGGGGGUGAAAGGCCAAUCAAACCGGGAGAUAGCUGGUUCUCCCCGAAAGCUAUUUAGGUAGCGCCUCGUGAAUUCAUCUCCGGGGGUAGAGCACUGUUUCGGCAAGGGGGUCAUCCCGACUUACCAACCCGAUGCAAACUGCGAAUACCGGAGAAUGUUAUCACGGGAGACACACGGCGGGUGCUAACGUCCGUCGUGAAGAGGGAAACAACCCAGACCGCCAGCUAAGGUCCCAAAGUCAUGGUUAAGUGGGAAACGAUGUGGGAAGGCCCAGACAGCCAGGAUGUUGGCUUAGAAGCAGCCAUCAUUUAAAGAAAGCGUAAUAGCUCACUGGUCGAGUCGGCCUGCGCGGAAGAUGUAACGGGGCUAAACCAUGCACCGAAGCUGCGGCAGCGACGCUGAUGCGUUGUUGGGUA